GUUCUCUCUUCACAUAAACCUACUUCCCUGCACUGGGGACCGUCCCAAGUGUUGCCACUUUAUAAAAUGCAAUCCUUUUAUACUUCUGUCCUCAAAAAUAAUUCCUUGUCCUAUGUUUAUGGUCUUCAACUAUGUAUCAGUCCAAAGCUUAAACAUUACCUGAUAGUUGCAUUGAUGUAGUCCACCAUACACAAGCUUCCAAUUAAGAAGCUAAACUCCUAUGCUUAAGAACAUUAAGUCAAAAGACACAUUUGGAAACCUAGAUUGAUGUAUUUAUUAUUAGACCUUAAUACCCACCUCUGACAGUCAUUUUACUAACUCAGUGUACAGACCCCAAUGAAGGUUUCUCCUCCUCGCCCGCUGAACCCAACACUGUUUCCACCUUACUGGCUUAUUUUCUGUCAGAGGUUAAACUGCUAACCCUUCACCUUCCAGGAAAAAUUUUUUUCUUCUCAUAAUAGGUUUUUCACAGUGUGCAGCACUAGGAUUAGCUCCUCUUCUGGAGAACAAAAGCUUUGUCUUUGUCUUCAUUGUCUGGGCACGGAGCCCCUACAUCAGAGGAAGCUGCCCCUACUCAACAUGCACAAUGACGAUACUGUGAGGCCCCACAGAAGCCUGGCUUCUCAGUGUCUAGACUCUCAUCCAACCAGCCAGCCAGAGAGAAAAUCCUGUCAAGCACUCAGCUGAAAAUUAACUAAAGUAUCCUGUUGAGAACCUGAUGAAGAUGUUAUUUGACCAUAAGGUCUCAUGCUUCCUCAAAGUCAAAGUGAUCAUGAAAAUUAAACAUUUUGAAUCAAUUCAGGGAGCUGAGGCCACCAUGACAGUGCAACUAAAGACACUCCCAAAAGAGGACUUCCAGAACGGCUUCAGGAAGUGGCGAGAACAACAGGGUCACGCUGCUGGCUACACUUCCCUGCCAUCGAGAAGAAAGAAGCAGCAAACAGAAGGGCAACAGCAGCAAAGCCUGGAGACCUACAAGGAAGGGCGCUACGAUCUACAUUUUGGCCCUUCCCUCUAAACAACUGGAGUGCAAGUUACUGGAAAAUCACUUGCCAGGAAAACUUCCAUUGCAAGAUGCCACAGCCAGUCUGCCAGAUAAAACAGAACCAUUUCUACUAACACAGGGGACAUGACAGAGACACUGCCAGUCCCUCAUAGAAAUCUUUAAAUCUGUGCAAUACUACCUACGAAACUAAGUUAUUUUCCAGAGUAUUCAAAAAUGUGUUGUGUUCAGAAAUAUCAAUUUAAUGCCUAGGAAACAAGUCCAAAUAGAAAAUAGAUCAGAUAAAGAUCAUAAUUAUAC
This 1303-nucleotide long non-coding RNA is filed under the name Fukomys damarensis (Damara mole-rat). RNAcentral's name for it is "lncRNA (ENSFDAG00000025713.1)". Lineage: Eukaryota; Metazoa; Chordata; Mammalia; Rodentia; Bathyergidae. The record is from RNAcentral.